Molecule: ribosomal RNA, 797 nt
Filed under: uncultured archaeon
Lineage: Archaea
Description: bacterial SSU rRNA
Rfam family: Archaeal small subunit ribosomal RNA
Source: RNAcentral
UCCGGUUGAUCCUGCCAGAGGCUACUGCUAUCGGGGUCCGACUAAGCCAUGCGAGUUGAGAGGGGUAAGCCCUCGGCAUAUUGCUCAGUAACACGCGGAUAACCUGCCCUUGGGUUUGGGAUAACCCCGGGAAACUGGGACUAAUACCGGAUAGAUCAAAGAUACUGGAAUGUUCUUUGUUCGAAAGCUCCGGCGCCCAAGGAUGGGUCUGCGGCCUAUCAGGUAGUAGUGGGUGUAACGUACCUACUAGCCUACGACGGGUAAGGGUUGUGAGAGCAAGAGCCCUGAGAUGGAUUCUGAGACAUGAAUCCAGGCCCUACGGGGUGCAGCAGGCGCGAAAACUUUACACUGCGGGAAACCGCGAUAAGGGGACCCCGAGUGCCAGCACCUAGUGUUGGCUGUCCAGCUGUUCAAAAAACAGUUGUUAGCAAGGGCCGGGCAAGACCGGUGCCAGCCGCCGCGGUAACACCGGCGGCCCGAGUGGUAGCCGUUAUUAUUGGGUUUAAAGGGUCCGUAGCCGGCUUAUUAAGUCUCUUGGGAAAUCUGGCGACUCAAUCGUCAGGCGUUCAAGAGAUACUGAUCGGCUUGGGACCGGGAGAGGUGGGAGGUACUCCAGGGGUAGGGGUGAAAUCUCGUAAUCCUUGGGGGACCACCGAUGGCGAAGGCAUCCCACCAGAACGGGUCCGACGGUGAGGAACGAAAGCUGGGGGCACGAACCGGAUUAGAUACCCGGGUAGUCCCAGCUGUAAACGAUGCUCGCUAGGUGUCAGGUGCGGUGCGACCGCAUUUGGUGCCGU